Molecule: long non-coding RNA, 8930 nt
Organism: Solenopsis invicta (red fire ant)
Lineage: Eukaryota; Metazoa; Arthropoda; Insecta; Hymenoptera; Formicidae
Exons: 2
Source: RefSeq, a predicted model, not a curated record
CGACGGCGGCGCGACGCAGGAAGAGAGACGAUGCGCCAUCGAGGGUGAACGCACCCACGACCUAUUCGGUAUCACCGGCGAAAAAGAGGGAUGAGAGUGAUAUCGAGUGGCGGAGAGAUAAACGAGAUCUCGUCUUCAGGAGUCGUACCCAGAAAAUCCGUUAAUCCCUCCGAUAAAACAUUGUCGUCCAUCGAUCGAAAGAAGGAUCGACGACCGGCUGCGAAAUCAUUCUCAAACUUUCGCUCGUUGAACCUGUUGGUAAAGAAAGAAUUAUACGUUCUAUCUUCGAAGCUGUCUCCGAUCGAAAUUGCAUGGGAAAUCGCAGAUGCGACCUUCUAUUCGAAUCGAGAGGGACACGGUAUUUGAUUAAAAUAGGCACGACAUUUUACGAAACAACGACCGUCGUUGAGGGAUUAUUUCGGGCCGUUCUCUGUUCUUCUUGCGGCAAGGAAAUUGCGGAUUGAUUUAUGGAAGCGUCGCGCGCGUUCGCGUUCGUCACGCCGUUUGAAAUAGCCGGGUGGAUGGUAGCGAAACACGUCGAGCGGGGCGUUUGCGCGACGCGUUAUCUCAAAGAAGCGGACAAAUUUCUCGCGUAGCGUCGAGCUGUCGCGAUGCGCAUCGAUUUAUUUCCGUGAACCGUCGGCUAAUUCACGUGGCCGCGCCGUCAGUAAUUUACAGCACGCCGUGGAGAAGCAUACGGCGCUUUUCGGCUAUUAUUAGAGUGACGGUAUACGCGCGCGCAUGACUGUAACAGUUUCGCGAUGUCCACGCGGAAUUCGCGCGGAAAGACAAGAGUCCAGUAGUCUGCGCCUAUUUCGAGAGCAUCUCACGUAGACAAUAAUAAACUCCCCGUUGAUUCUUAUGUACACUGUUUUCAUCGGCAUUCUUGUUACGGCAAACAGCAUUGUCAUUUUACGACAUCGAAUGUUGCUAAUAAAGGAGACUCCUCUUCGACUACGAAUCGGCUAUAAGCGACACUCGUAAUAUAGAAUAUUACGUCUCUUUCGCCGAUCGGCGAAAGUUGAACAAGCAACAGCGGCAAUAACUACAUGUGCGUUGGUGGUGUUAUUCUCUUACAUUACUCGUUACGUAAGAAAAUAUAAUUUAUAUUGUCAAGUAGAUAUACUCUUCGAAAUUUUUCACGUCACACUCAAUUUGCUUUAGAUCUAGUAAUUAAGCCAGAAUUUGUCCCUCUUUUUAUUUGCAAUAUUGAUAAACAACGCAUAGUUCAUAAAGAAAAAAUGAUCUGUCUAGCACCGAUAUGCUUUGAAUUAGCUGCCCAUUCAGGAAAUAGCUAUUGAGUGAGAACAAGGAAAUAUACAGACCGUGACAAAGGAACGCGCGGAGAGACGGAUAUUUAUGGUUAUCAGCGAGCGCGUAAAAUAGACGAGCCUGCGGAACAAUAGUCCUGGCUGGCGUCCAAACGUAUCUCCGGCGUUCCCGGCCGGUCUCAGUGCGCGGUGUAGGAAGAAACAGUCGGAAUUUGAUAAUACGCAGCGAGGCGAAGAUAGCGAAAUGAGUUUCUAAAUUUGCGACGCGGCAAAACCGCGACUGCGGCCGCUAUAAAUAAGCAGCCCCCGAUCCACCCCUCUAUCGGGACGCUACCCGUACUCCAGAAAUAAGUCCGAGUCCACGCUUAAUCCGCAAGACUAAUUUACACGUGGCCCUUCCUGAUUCAGCCUCGGGCUCACGCUGACCUUGCGACCAUCGCAAAUCGCCGAACAGGUGAUCAGGUCUCAGAUCUCUGAGUGAUCCCUUGACCUUUUCCUAACUGUUUGGUAGCUCGAUAAUAACUUUCAAUUAUUCUAUUUCUUGUAAGCGUUUCAUUUUAAUUUAUCUCAUAAUUAAUUUCACUUCAUAAACUUGCAAUCUGACAAAAAACAGUUAUAUAUAUUUUAAAAAGCACUGUUGCAUUAAAUUUACUUGUGUUUUAAGAGUUUUGUACAACACUAGUUAAAAGUUGUUGAAAUUUAAAAACUGCGAGUUUUUAGAUUUUUUAUUUUUAUUUUCUUAAUUAAGAAGAAAAAAAAUUUGAUCGUGAAUACCUGAAUUUUGGCUCUAAAAUCAGUUCCAAAAAACAAAACAACGAAAAAUUUAGUUUAUAAUUACUUAUACAGCGUAAAUGGCUAUAUUUUGCUGCAGUUUUAAACAAAUAAUUUGUAAACGAGUAAGAGGAUUCAAAUUUAAACGUUUGGAAAUAUUUAUUAGAAUUUCAUUAUUAUAUAUAAAAAAUUUGAUUUAAUUCAUAAUGUUACUCGUCAAAUAUACAAAUAAAUAUUAUAAAACACGAUUUUACGUAAGAAUCAAGAGCAAACAAAAAAUUAAAUAACUUUUAAAGUAAUAAGAAAAUUGCUCAAAUUUUAAAUAAAUUUAAUUGUUGUUAGUAAUCUAAUUAUUAUGUUGCAUUGAACAUAAUCUAUAAAAUGUUUAUAUUUUUGGUAGUGUUUCGAUUUGUGAUACAUACAUUCUUAAAUUAAUUAUAAUAAGUGCAAAAUAGUUUUUUUUUUAACAAUUUACGAAUCAAAGGUUACAAACAUUUUUGUAAUGUUUUCUCUUUGGAGCUCAUACACGUUAUAUAUUGCGCAUGAUAGGCACUUUUCCUAUCAGAUGAGCAAGAGGAUGCAGCCGGUAGUUAGCACGCGUCUCAUGACAGCCGUGCCGGUUGGUAGAUAGUCAGUUGGGUCAUGAUACCGCAGUACAGGCGGCUUAAUAGGUUAACAGCUACCUCCAAUUGGUCGAUGACGCUGCUACUACCAUGACGUCACGGGGAGUGCAAUGCCCUUGUGACGUGGAAUCGUGCAGUGCAGGCCAAGCAGUGCACAGAAAUAACGCGCGGUCUCUUUCUCUCUUUCCCAAUUUUACCCCCUCUAGUUUGUUUCUCCUCCUCGUUCACCUUCUCUCCUCUCGUAUUUCUCUCUUUUUAUCUCUGUCUCUUUCUCACUUUAGCUUUCACUCUCUUCCUCAUAUUCGUUCCCUUUUCAAAUUGUGCUUUCGCGCGAGCUCGAGUACACUUGCUAGAAACCGCGUGAUCAGCGGUUCUACCAGGAUUAUCAUAAGAGGUAGAUGAAAUUCGGUAGUCAGUAGAUAUCCCAGCAACACACACACACUCUCUCUCUCUCAUUAAUCGAUCCUAAUUUCACACUGAAACCUCACGCAUUUUGCCGAGAUAUUUCUGUCUACCUGUGGCCAGGGUUAGAACUUAGGCAAUCUAAUCAUAUCCUAGGAAUGUAACAAUUUUAGAGCACAAGCCUCGGGGGUCGGAUAUAAUGUAAAUGUUGAGUAUGAUUCCGCUUGACCUGCAUUCGCACCAAAACGCUCAUAUUAAAUGCAUUGAUGUAACAGAAUAGCGUCGUAAACGACGAAAUGUGGCCAUUGACUUUAAUGUAUUUGUGAUAGAUUAGAUCCAGAUACGUUGCUAAUAGUCGAGCAAUUUCUAUAGUACGUAUACUUAUGUAUUCGAGGACACAUUUAUAAAUAUUUAUUUCUAUUCAACAAUUUUGGUAUUUCCAAUGUAUUGCAGUGAGGAAGGUAAAGUUCAAUUGCAAGUAAAUAAACAAUGUCGAAGAAGAAGAUCGUUUGUUCGCUUCAUAAAAUUAUUAAUGCGACUCUUAGUCGUUCGUUCUCUUGAGGAUCGAGAUGAGAAUAGAAUGAACCGUCUAGUGAACAAACAAAUAUCGUAUUAAACUUCCGUCUCUUGUUGACGAACUUAUUCCUGCGAGAUGGGAAUACAUUAUUUAGAUUCUCAUCAUUGGUUUAUCAUUUAAAUUCUCUGUUUUCUCGUUACCUUCGACCUUACGGAGAGUUGUAUUUUGUUAGUAACAUUGUUAACUACUUUUCAGAAUAUUUUGGAAGUAGCGAACGAUGGUAAUGCUAUUGGUAUAAGACUAAUUUCUCUGGUGCUUUUGGAAAGGUUCGCGUGUGGCCUCUUUUCACUCGGAUGAAAGGUAGACGUCCGUUCAGAAAUAACGUCUUUAGGCGAUUGUCAACGCACGAACGAGCUCCUUCCUAGACACGAAUUAGCAAUAUCUAGCGGGAACAGUAAUUUCCCGCUUAUGAAAGACGGGGAGUAGUUAGAACACAAUGAUGGAACUAAAUUGCAACAUUUCGGGGCUGACGAAGGUGACACAGUAGGAAAUAUGAGUUCGAUAUUUUCCCGGCUAACUUUUGCAGCUGCUCAUGAAAUAUUCAAGUAUUAUCGGAUGCUCAAUUCCCGAUCGGAUAAUAUUACAAGUUGAAUAAUAAUAAAUGAGGCUCUUAAUAUUUUAAAAUAUAUGUUUCAUAUAUGUUACGUUGAAUAGAUUAUUAAUAUACGAAGAAAUAUACACGAAGCAUUAGACCUAUUUCGUCUAUUAAUAACAUGUAUCAAGUGUGGACUUUUCUGCGAGUUUUGAAUGGUGACGUAGAUAUAUCUUCAGUAAACAUCAUUCAGCGUAAUCGGACAAUAAUACAAAGUCAUUUUCGCUUCGAAUGGAGCGAUAAAAGUGUUAAGCGAUACUCGAGCCAUAGCAGAAAGCGAGCUAUGUAUUUUAAAUUUAUUCCCUUGUGAGUGGUAAAAUAUAUUUCUUUCGUAUCGCUUGAUCUGAAUUAAAGAGAAAUGCGUAUUGAAUUUUUCAGGUAGACGAAAUUAAAGAGAAUGUGAAAGAAAGGUCGCGAACGAGAUUUCGAGAGGUUCUUUUUUGAUAGUCCAAUACAAAAAAAAUUUACGGAAUGAUGUCGGAAUUUUGUCAACGAAGAUCGCGCGGAUUUCGAUGAAGCUUGCUUCCUUAGUAGUUCUCGUCUGAUUCUAUCACAAGGACAACGUGAAAGCUCGAUUUUAAGAAAAAUUUAUUCUAACGCUCGUUUCCCUAAAAAUACCACGAAUAACGAGGUCCGAGAAGCUGGGACUUUCUGCCGAGGUCGAGUCGCGAUAUUUUCGAGACGGCCGAAGUAGAAUAUUAAUUAGACGUUUCACUAAAUGUUAAAAAUAUAAAAGAAAUAGCCUUGACCUUCUCACCAAAUACGUUAAUGUAUAAAUAUAGAAGGUCUGUGAGUGCUGAGAAAAACUAGAAUGUCAGGAAGCCAAAUAGAAUUAGAAUUGGCUUACAAAAGCGAAAGAGAAUGUAAAUGGUUUAUUUUGAUUAUUCCCCAUGUGCGAUACAUUAUAUACGUUUUACUCCUAUUAUAAUCAUACAAUGAGAGAAAGAGAUGGUUGUAACUGUAAUUCAUAGUCAUUUACGGUGCCAUAUAUAUUUAUAACUGCAAAUUAUACGUAUUAAUUAUUAAUACUGCGCAAAUAGCAAGCACAUAUUUAAAAAAUAGUUAUAUUCUCUAUAAAAUUGUGCUUACAUUUAUUAUAUGAAAAUAUUUUUUUAUUCAUAUCUUGAUAUGGAUUUUUUAUUAACUUUUUAUAUUUUGAUAUAGAUUUUAUUCAUAUUUAAAAUUAUCAUAAUUUAUAAUAGUUAAAAUUUUUUCAUAGUCGAUAGAAUCACAAGGGUAUUAUUUCUAACUUUACUAGUAAUAAUAAAACUAUAAAAAUGGAGCUUUUGUAAUUAUAUUUCUUUAUGUAAUUAUAGUCAUAAAUACCAAACAAUUUUUGUUCAGUGUAAAGUGAAAGAAUUACGUGGUUUAAACAAUCUGAUCUAGAAGAUCUGAUCGAGAAGAAACUUGGAGAUUAAAUAAUAAAUUAAGUUAUUGACUCUUCUCUCUUUGAAAUGUCAUUAGAAUUCGCUAAGCGGAAUUGCACGUAAAAAAGAUCUAAUUUUAAAAUAAUGCCAAGAUAUCGCUAGAUGAGUAUAACGUUAAUUAUAAGAGUAAAUGAAUUGAACCUACAAUUUUGCGGGAAUCACUUCUUGUUCCUCUUCCGGAUUCUCUGCGUCGCAGCUCAUCUCUCGCCGAAUACCUCUCCCUUAUUCGCGCCAAUUCUCGGCGGAAUUCAGCGAAGCCUCGCAUGAACAGGUCGGAAAUCGAUUUUACGGAAGUAGCAGAAUCUCUAUAGCGAUCUGAGGAUGUAUGAGUCUCUUGUUGGGAACGCGAUCAAGUUUACGGCUCUCUCUCUCUCUCUCUCUCUCUCUCCCCUCUCUUUCUUCUCUCUCUCUCUCCUCUCCCUCCCCCUCUCUCUCUCUCUCUCUCGCUUCUCUUUCUCACUCACUCACUCACUCUCUCUGUCUCUCUCUCUGUUUGCCAGCUUGAUAUAAAAGAUUCACAAGUGGAUCCUGUGCUAUUCGCAUCGCGUUAUUCCCUUGAGAUGCAGAAAUUGCGCGACAUGCGUGAAAAUUCAACAGGUAAUAUCCACACUGUGGAAGAAUCUUUAUCGAUCGCAGCAGUGGCAUGCAAUAUGCGGCCCAACAGGCAAUCUUGUUUUAGGUAGAAACUGUUUAAUGUCCCUAAUUAUAAAAUUACAUUUUUUUACAAUAGUUCUAUAUAGAAAAAAAUAUGUAUUAAAUUAAAACUAAAACAUUCUAUUUAACGCAAUCAUUGUUCCACAUAUACUCGUAUGCAAGAAGAUAAAAUUUUUUUAAAGAAUUAGAUAAAUUUAAAAUUUUAGUAAUGUUGUACUCUUAAAACUCUAAUUCUUAGUUUAAAGAUAUUUCUUAUCAAAUAUUUUUUUCUUUUAAUUUAUAAAAAUUAUUAUUAAUUAAUUUUUUUUAAAUAAAAUUACACAAAAUUUCUUUAUGUGAGCAAAUUAUGUCUGGUUAACGUCUAUUUUUGUCUGUUUCUAUAAUCUGAUUCCAAUACUUAUAUUUUGAAAACAGUGGUAUUCUCAAGAGAAUAUUAUUUUUUUCUAUGUAGUUGCAAUUUUAAAGAUAUUGAGUUCAGAUUUCAAUGCAAAAUCAACAAUAGCUCAGAUAACAACGCUGCAAUAGUUACGAAAAGACGAAGAGUUAAAAUUUUACAGUUUGCGUUACAGAUCAGCAUUUGGUUCGUGACAUGCGAAUUUUAUCCCACGGUGACUCUCUGAUAUCGGAAACUGUUCGCGAAACAGAAUUUAUUCACCAAACAAGUCAGAUAACACAGCACCCGCGAAAUUGCGCAUUCAUGUGAUCAAUAACAUUGGCGUCUUUUGAUAGAACAUGGUUUCUCAAAUAAUGACGAUGAAAUUUAGGGCGCGUAAAAUAAUAUAAUUUUCUAUUCAAUUGUCCGUAAAAUUUCUCGAAAAGAAAUAAAAAUUGUGACGCUGGAAUAAAAUCUCAUGCUACCUUUUUAUUUUAGUAAUUAAUAUCGUCAAUUUGCAAUAAUUACAUUCUCGAUUUUACAUUGAAUACUAAUUAAUUUCUUAACGAAACUUUAUAAUAUGGCUUUUCGCAAUUCAUGAACAGUUGAGCGUGUUAAAAUUAUCGUGUUCGAGCACCCUUUUUUUUGUUUGCUAUUGCUAAUGACAUUAGCGAACGAAAAGUUGCGUAAAUUCAUUACUUAUAUACUCGCAUCACAAUGACAAUUAGGAUGAUUUCCUCAUCGUUCUGUCAUUUUCGCAAUUUGCGUCUUACGUAACUUAGUGUGGAUUUUUCAGUAAUUCAUAACUAAUGAAGCUCAUUACUAUAGAACUCGAUCACCGCAAUUCCAAUCGCUACACUGCUGCAGCGUUCGGUUGCACCGAUUUGCUCUAGCAUAGGAUCCACUGUUUCAUGCGAACGAAAUUACACGAAUUUUCUCUCGACGCACCGAAAGCUGCAAAGCUCGAUCAAGAGGAUUGCUAGAGCACCAAUGGAUCGUUCGCCAACCGCGCCGCGACGAAGAUCCCCUUCUCUAUUGCGAUCAAACGCACACGCAAAAGCUCGGCUCGCUGCCACCGCGGAGACUGCAAGCUCGCAUCUCAGGCGUUGCCGUGCUCUCCGGCCGUUUUCCCCGGCGAGCUUACGACGGAGCUUUCGAAAUCGAGCCGUGUGAGUUUGUGGCCUCGGUCCGACAAGAGCCGAUCGACCGGCCAUGGCGCGAACGCCAGUCGCCAGGUCGUUGUCCUGUGACGCCACAGAGAGCUUUGUAGCUCGUACCGAGCUUGCAGCCAUCGCCACUGCUGAUGGCGUAGAGUGGGAGGAGAGGAGGAUAGAUGGGAGCGGUGGGUGUUAUGACGUCACACAUGGUACACGCCACCGGUGGUCCAAAUACACGUGGAAGGGGUGUUUUAGAAACAAGAGAAGGGGUUGGAAUACGAGCACGAAGCUAUUCUUGGACGCUUCAAAACACUGUCCUCGCGGCCGCGUUGCGUAACUACGUGGGAGAGCUUUUCUGAAGGAGGUGUUCGCGAAAUGGCCAUUGUAAAAAAGAUGAGACGCACAAAAAGAGUAAGCGGAGCGGAAAGAGAGAUCAACGAAUAGAUUUUAUGUAAUUAAGGAGCUUAAAUUACAUGGAUAGAUUUCAUGCAAUUAAGGAGCUUAAUUAAAUAAAAAUGCGUAAAAAUGUAAUAUUGUGCACAUGAAAUUCGAUUCAAAUUAUACUUAAUGCAUUUAAAUGUCUUUUUUUCUUCUUUUAUAUAUAGUUCGCAUAUAAACGGGAUAAAUUACAAUAAUAAAAUUUUUUGUUAUUUUGGAGCCCUUCUGAAGAGAAAUUUCGAGGAACUGAUUGUGAGACAAUUUUCAUAAUCUACUUAUUUAUCCGAGAAUGAUAUAAAAAAAAUUUUAUAUAUAUAUAUAUAUAUAUAUAAAAUUGAUAGAUACGGUUUUUAGAAACUAUAAAACAAUUUUAUAAUUUAGGCUUGUCAAUCAGUAAAUUCUCUUAUGAAAGUGUAAUCGAUUUGUCAGGAACGUCUCUUUACCCUUGACAAGUUCGCUUCAAAUGCGAAAGGGUUAGCGUUAAUGAACGAGCGUUAUCAUAUCUGUGACAGGAUAAUUGAUACACGCUCGCUCUUACCUCUCUCUAUCUGCAGUUUUCGCAGUCCAAGUCCAUUAAUCGUCCUUUCAAUUUAGAUUUUAAUUUUUUCCCCGAGCUUACAGCGAUAUUCACGUGAUAUAUCAAAG